AAACUAGCAUAGCUCAAAUAAAUGUCCUCUUUUUCCAAAGAUUAUUAAAGAGAGUUUUCUUUUUCUUUAACCCAGCUAUUCAAAUACUCUAUUAGACCAGGACCUGUAAUAAUACAGGCCUUGUCCAGAAGGGAUCAGGUUUCUAUGUUAUAUAAUUAGGCAAGACUUUAAAUAGUAAGACAUGCACCUGUGGUGCUUUUGUCUCUAACUCCACAAAUUUCAACAUGCAUACAAAUCAAGAAGGGGUGGGGGUGUUACAUGCAAAUUCUGCUUCAGUGGGUGUUGGAGCCUGAGAUUCUGGCUUUCUAACAAGCUCCCAGUAGAGAUGGGGUUUCACCAUGUUGCCCAGGCUGGUCUCAAACUCCUGAGCUCAGGCCAUCUGCCCGCCUCGGCCUCCCAAAGUGCUAGGAUUACAGAAGGUGCCUGCUUCCCCUUCACCUUCCACCAUGAUUGUAAGUUUCCUGAGGCCUCCCCAGACAUGUGGAACUAACAGGUUUCUCUUAUUGCCUGGAUCCAAGAGCAUCUCCUGGGUUCUUCCUGUUAGAAUACUGAAUGUCCAUGGAGAGUUUAACAUAAGGAAGAAGAGGCCUGUCUCCCAGCUGAAACUGGUGCAGCAGAUCAUGCAAAGUAAAACCUCAGCAGCUGUGAUGAAGUAGAGCAGAGGGCCUGGGUGUCUGUCAGCUCCAAGCGGAAGAUUUCCCCAGCUUUCUAGAUUUCUGACUUCAUAUCUGUGGGAUCCACACAAUGGGGAGGUACUGGCCUUGGAAUCCAUGGUUCCCCAGCUAUCAUUUUACUUUAGAAUUACAGUGUUCUCUGUUAGUGUCAAGGGAAUGAACCUGACGAGAAAAGACCAAACAUAGGACUGUUACAGGGAAGAAAAAUAUGAAAAGACCUAAAGAUGCACGUCCUCAUUAUAUGUAAGGAAUCUAUUUCCUAGAAUCCUAUAAAAAGCUCAAGUGAAUUUGCUUCAGUUAAUAAAUGUGAUUUAAUUAUAAUGAUAAUGCCACA
Molecule: long non-coding RNA, 1008 nt
Filed under: Homo sapiens (human)
Lineage: Eukaryota; Metazoa; Chordata; Mammalia; Primates; Hominidae
Description: HSALNT0307486
Source: RNAcentral